RNAcentral lists this ribosomal RNA (468 nucleotides) under uncultured bacterium. Its description in RNAcentral is "partial 16S ribosomal RNA". It matches the Rfam family "Bacterial small subunit ribosomal RNA", at positions 28 to 507 of the family's 1533-position model. The record is from RNAcentral.
GACGAACGCUGGCGGCGUGCUUAACACAUGCAAGUCGAACGGAAAGGCCCUGCUUUUGUGGGGUGCUCGAGUGGCGGACGGGUGAGUAACACGUGAGUAACCUGCCCUUGACUUUGGGAUAACUUCAGGAAACUGGGGCUAAUACCGGAUAGGAGCUCCUGCUGCAUGGGGGGGGUUGGAAAGUUUCGGCGGUUGGGGAUGGACUCGCGGCUUAUCAGCUUGUUGGUGGGGUAGUGGCUUACCAAGGCUUUGACGGGUAGCCGGCCUGAGAGGGUGACCGGCCACAUUGGGACUGAGAUACGGCCCAGACUCCUACGGGAGGCAGCAGUGGGGAAUAUUGCACAAUGGGCGGAAGCCUGAUGCAGCAACGCCGCGUGCGGGAUGACGGCCUUCGGGUUGUAAACCGCUUUCGCCUGUGACGAAGCGUGAGUGACGGUAAUGGGUAAAGAAGCACCGGCUAACUACGUG